RNAcentral lists this ribosomal RNA (301 nucleotides) under uncultured bacterium. RNAcentral's name for it is "partial 16S ribosomal RNA". It matches the Rfam family "Bacterial small subunit ribosomal RNA", at positions 509 to 808 of the family's 1533-position model. The record is from RNAcentral.
CAGCGCCGCGGUAAUACAGAGGGUGCGAGCGUUAAUCGGAUUUACUGGGCGUAAAGCGUGCGUAGGCGGCUAAUUGAGUCGGAUGUGAAAUCCCCGAGCUUAACUUGGGAAUUGCAUUCGAUACUGGUUAGCUAGAGUGUGGGAGAGGAUGGUAGAAUUCCAGGUGUAGCGGUGAAAUGCGUAGAGAUCUGGAGGAAUACCGAUGGCGAAGGCAGCCAUCUGGCCUAACACUGACGCUGAGGUACGAAAGCAUGGGGAGCAAACAGGAUUAGAUACCCGGGUAGUCCCUGUCUCUUAUACA